This 542-nucleotide ribosomal RNA is filed under the name uncultured bacterium. Its description in RNAcentral is "partial 16S ribosomal RNA". It matches the Rfam family "Bacterial small subunit ribosomal RNA", at positions 355 to 889 of the family's 1533-position model. The record is from RNAcentral.
UGGGGAAUAUUGGACAAUGGGCGCAAGCCUGAUCCAGCAAUGCCGCGUGUGUGAAGAAGGCCUUCGGGUUGUAAAGCACUUUAAGCAGGGAAGAAAAAACUCGGUCUAAUACAUCGAGUCUUGACGGUACCUGAAGAAUAAGCACCGGCUAACUCUGUGCCAGCAGCCGCGGUAAUACAGAGGGUGCUAGCGUUAAUCGGAUUUACUGGGCGUAAAGCGUGUGUAGGUGGUUGUUCAAGUCAGUUGUGAAAUCCCCUGGGCUUAACCUGGGAACUGCUUCUGAGACUGAACGACUAGAGUACGGUAGAGGGUGGUGGAAUUUCCGGCGUAGCGGUGAAAUGCGUAGAUAUCGGAAGGAACAUCAAUGGCGAAGGCAGCCACCUGGGCCUGUACUGACACUGAGACACGAAAGCGUGGGGAUCAAACAGGAUUAGAUACCCUGGUAGUCCACGCCGUAAACGAUGAGAACUUGACGUCGGUUUGCUCUGCAAGUCGGUGUCGUAGCUAACGCGAUAAGUUCUCCGCCUGGGGAGUACGGCCGC